GAGGGACGCAGGAAGGUAGCUCUUCCCGGCUAUGGCUAUGUCGGUUAAGUGUGUAGGGUGGAGUAUAGGCAAAUCCGUACUCCGUGAUGCCUGAGACAUGAUGUGUCCACACCUUGGUGUGGUAAGAGUGAUCCUAUGCUGCCUAGAAAAGCUUCGUGAGCGAGAUAUGAGCCGCCCGUACCCCAAACCGACACAGGUGGAUAGGUAGAGAAUACCAAGGCGAUCGAGAGAAUCGUGGUGAAGGAACUCGGCAAAAUACCCCCGUAACUUCGGGAUAAGGGGGACCUGACACGUAUAAGAGCUUUGCCUCGAAAGCGUUGAGGGUCGCAGAGACCAGGCCCAAGCGGACUGUUUACUAAAAACACAGGUCCGUGCUAAGUCGAAAGACGAUGUAUACGGACUGACUCCUGCCCGGUGCUGGAAGGUUAAGGGAACUGUUAGUCAGUAAUGGCGAAGCGGUG
Molecule: ribosomal RNA, 461 nt
Filed under: uncultured bacterium
Lineage: Bacteria
Description: bacterial LSU rRNA
Rfam family: Bacterial large subunit ribosomal RNA
Source: RNAcentral